GUGGGGAAUCUUGCGCAAUGGGCGAAAGCCUGACGCAGCCAUGCCGUGUGAAUGAUGAAGGUCUUAGGAUUGUAAAAUUCUUUCACCGGGGACGAUAAUGACGGUACCCGGAGAAGAAGCUCCGGCUAACUUCGUGCCAGCAGCCGCGGUAAUACGAAGGGGGCUAGCGUUGCUCGGAAUUACUGGGCGUAAAGGGCGCGUAGGCGGACAGCUUAGUCAGAGGUGAAAGCCCAGGGCUCAACCUUGGAAUUGCCUUUGAUACUGGCUGUCUUGAGUUUGGGAGAGGUGAGUGGAACUCCGAGUGUAGAGGUGAAAUUCGUAGAUAUUCGGAAGAACACCAGUGGCGAAGGCGACUCACUGGCCCAAUACUGACGCUGAGGCGCGAAAGCGUGGGGAGCAAACAGGAUUAGAUACCCCGGUAGUCC
RNAcentral lists this ribosomal RNA (425 nucleotides) under uncultured bacterium. RNAcentral describes it as "partial 16S ribosomal RNA". It matches the Rfam family "Bacterial small subunit ribosomal RNA", at positions 354 to 796 of the family's 1533-position model. The record is from RNAcentral.